AACUUUCAAAAUUGAAUACAAACAUAAAUCAGUGCAACUUCAUGUAAUCUCCCUAUUUUACAGAUGGAGAAACUGAGGCACAGAAAACACAAGUGACUUGGAGUGUCACUGUCAGAGCUGGGAAGAAAUUCCAGGAGUAGAGUCCCCUGCAGUAUCCACUGGACAUCUCCCUUGUGCAGGUCUGCAUAUCUGCAUAUUUUUUGGAAUCAGGUGGUGUUUUCAGUGUGGCAUAUCAUGUAAUUGUGUUGAGUAUAUCUGGAAUGUUAAACACUUAUUUUGAGUUGUAAGCCUUUUGACCCAGUGCCAAUAAUUAUGUGCUAUUGGGAGGCAGGUUUAGAGAGAGAAUUAAUGAUAAUAAUUAUUAACAAUGAGAUUUGCCUAAAUUUUAAAGCUGUCAUUAAAUUGUUUUGCCCUUUCUUUACUGGUAUCUAAUUUUUGCUCACUAUAUUUCCAAUAUAUUUUACUAAGAUAUAAUACAUGUGGAGUUUAUAUUGGAAUAUGUCAAAAAUCACAAUUUCCCUUGCAUUCCAUGUCUGCUUGGAAACACUGACUUAAAUACAACUGCUCGAGUUUCGGCAUGUUUAAAUGUACCUUCUUGAAUGAAGAAAAACUGCACAGCCAAUGAAAAGAGUAUUGCCUAAUGACGAGAUGUUAUCGCCUGCAUUGAGGAGCAUUUCAGAUGGGUUGUGUAGAGGCAGAAUCCAAGUAGAUAUGUUCCUAUUUUCUCACCGAGAGCCUGAUCCUACUCCAAAUGAACCCAGUGGAAAGACUCCCAGUGACUCAAGUGCACUACACAGAAUUUGUUUUGAAUAG
RNAcentral lists this long non-coding RNA (813 nucleotides) under Chrysemys picta bellii (western painted turtle). RNAcentral describes it as "lncRNA (ENSCPBG00000001288.1)". The record is from RNAcentral. Lineage: Eukaryota; Metazoa; Chordata; Testudines; Emydidae.